RNAcentral lists this long non-coding RNA (655 nucleotides) under Lactuca sativa (garden lettuce). RNAcentral's name for it is "long non-coding RNA (LSAT_LNC002241)". The record is from RNAcentral. Lineage: Eukaryota; Viridiplantae; Streptophyta; Magnoliopsida; Asterales; Asteraceae.
UACCGGGCUCGAGACCUGAUUCGUACCAGUCGCCUUCUUUGGUCUCGAUGAUGGGCCACAGGAUCCCCCAUGAAAGGAAUGUACCAAGCAACAAGGAGAUAUUUAUAAGGUAUGGACAGAUCAUCCCUACCCCAAUAUACAUAGUUGAGAAAUCAAAGAAAAACCUAAAGAAAAAAAAAUCAACCAAAAAGAAACAGUUACAAACAUUAUUUCUAAAAGUUUGGAUACAUUCAACAUUAUUCUUUUGUCUUAAAAAUAUAUCAAUAUUGAUAUAUACAAGAAUAAAAAAUUACUACUUUAUCAAUAUUGAUCUUUUUAAUGGUAAAGAAGAAACUUCUUAUUAUAAUUAUAAUUUUUUGAUUUUAAACAAGCGUUGAAAUUGGUUGUCAAUGUUCCUAGGUUUUUUGUGUUUCUUAUUUAAACAACUGUUAAAAAAAACCGUUAGACUGGGUUAUCGAUAUAUUUUUCAUACACAAAACAAAAGAGUAAAAGAGUAAUUACAUGUUAUCGUAAGCUUUGAGUCCAAAAACAGGGAAGCUCUGAAAGCCACAAUGAUCCCCAGAGGUGAAGAACCAUUGAAAGAAACUCCAUAAGAAGCUGAUAGAGAAGAAUCUCCCUAAUUCCCUCACUUGUUGCCUAUCAUCAAGAAAUUUUU